GUAAAAAUUAAUUUCUGCAAGUCUACAAUUAUUUCUCUUUCUCUCUGUGUAAGUGGAGGAGGAGAGGGAAAUUCAAUAUGUAGACACCAAUGAGUGUUCAUUCCUCCUCCCAAGGAGAAAUUCUGGCAAAGUUCUUGAAUGUGAGCCGACCCACAGAUACUGACGGCCAGCACAAUCCAAAAUCUAACUCUAUGAGGAGAGAGGGGAACCAGGAAGCCUAGAACCAGAAGCUGAAGACUAAAGCUCCCAGAGCCUACUGAACCACCCCAUCCCAAAUCUCCUUGUCAAGAUGGCAACUUUAUUCAGAAGGGGGCUGCCAAGGUUAAACAGAGCUAUUGAAGAAGAAAUCAUCCCUCACGCCUCCACCACAGGCCCAAAGAAGAACUAUAAGAGGAUCCUUUGGAAAAUGGAUUGAAUUUUGCUCUUGUGGCUACAAGGAAUAGAACCAGCAUCAAGGUUUAAGUUCCUAUGAAAGCAGAACCUGAAAGGAAGACUUGAGUUAAUUUAAGAGGUGAUCACGGUGAACAGAAGUGAUGGAAUCAGAAGAAUAAAACAGAAAAUCCAAUAAAGUUGGAUUAUGAGCUGGCUACCACUGAGAUUCACUGGGGUUCAGUCCUGCUGAGGAUUCUUUGAGUAAAUUAAUAGAGAAUGCCUUAUAUUGUCUCACCAAAGGACAAUUGAGUUGAUACACUUAUCUACUUCUUCUCAUCCCUCAUUAGUUGAGGGCUGCUGCCAGCUGUGUCAACACCUUCAAAAGUCUGAACUAUUUGUGCAUAAGCUAAAUGGGCUUUUGCAGUGUUGGGAAAAGCCCAGAGUCAGAAGAACAGAAAGACACUGUGGUCUGCAGUUGAGAAGGGAUGCCGGCAUUGCCCAUGAAAUGUGCAUGAAAUGUUGGCAUUGAACUAUGGCUGCACAAAAUCAGGUGGGUCAAGCAAAUUAACACAAUGCAUUACCAGCAUCAUCUUCAAAUUUAUAGUGAAACUUCUCAUUUGAUCUUUCAUAUCUCUUGGCUUCAUUUCUAUAUUUUUCAUUGCUUUUUAGCUCUGAGCCUCAUAUGUGGCAGUUUCCUCAGAUUUCUAUUCUCAUUUGUUGAUUUUCUAUUUAGCUGUGUGUAAAUAGCUCAUCUUUCUCAUAAUAGCAUUUUCUUAUAGUUUCAUCUUUCACAUGUUUAUUUGCUUGCUUUCACAUUGUACCAUUAUCUCAGUAUCUUUGGCAGUAAUCCUGCUAUUCAUUGUGCCUACUGGCUAUCAUGGCAAGAUAUUUUUCUAUGUGUUUUGUGAUGUAUUUUCAGUGUGGAUUUAUUGAACUUUAAUUUACUGAACUUUAAUUUAUUGAACUUUAAUUUAUUAAUUUAUUGAACUCUAAUUUACUGAACUUAUUUUCAGUGAGGAUUUACCACCGCACUCCUUGCCAUUCUAUUGUAGAAAUUUAUUGAACUAUUAAUUUAUUGAACUUUAAUUUACUGAACUUAUUUUCAGUGAGGAUUUACAGAUUCACUUAUUCACUUAUUUCAGUGAGGAUUUACCACCCCAUUCCCUGCCAUUCUAUUGUAGAAAUUCUACACACUGGGAAGAGAAUCAUGUACUUUACUAUUUGAUUCUUCCAGAUGCUCCAUGAAGGGUAUCAUAAACUUGGGAUCAUUUUUGUCUAUUGUGAUAAAAUACACAUAGCAUAAAUUGACCAUUUUAAACACUUUUAAGUGUACAGUUCAGUGGCAUCAAGUAUAUUUGCAUUGUUGGACAACCGUCACCACCAUCCAUUUCCACAACUUUUCCAUCAUCCCAAAGUGAAACUCUGUGCCCAUGAAACACUAACUCCCCAUUCCACUCUUUCCCAGCCCUGAUAACCACAAUUCUACCUUCUGUCUCUAUUAAUUUAACUAUUUUAGGUACCUCAUGUAAGUAGAAUUAUACAGUAUUUGUCCUUCUGCAUCUGGCUUCUUUCACUUGGCAUAAUGUCCUCAAGGUUCAUCCAUGUUAUGGUAUGUAUCAGAAUUUCCUUUCUUUUUUAAGGCAGAAUAAUAUUCCAUUGUACGUAUAUUCCACGUUUAGUCUGUCCAUUCAUCCAUGGAUGGAUAUUUGAGUUGUUUGGACCAAUGUUUAAGUGAAUUUCUCAGCUUAGGUUUCAGUUUAUUACAUGAGAGAUAUUUUUUCCCCACCGAGAGCCUAAGCAACUGAAGUCUCCCUCACCAGCAGGUAGGAUUUGUCUGGUCCCCCAUUCACUGAGCAGGCAGCUUUUCAAGGGUCCUGACUUUUGCACAAAUCUCAGAUCCAGCUCCCCUUUCUAAGGCCUCAUCACCUGUCCCCAUGAGCGUGCAUCAGAAUGUGCCCCACCCAGGCUCCAGCUCCCCCACAUCAGCUCUCACACUUGCCACUCCACCUUUCUUUUUGUUUUUUGUGUUUUUGCUUGUUUGUUUGUUUUUUGAGACGGAGUCUCACUCUGUCGCCCAGGCUGGAGUGCAGUGGCAUGAUCUCCGCUCACUGCAAGCUCCACCUCCUGGGUUCACGCCAUUUUCCUGCCUCAGCCUCUCCCAGUAGCUAGGAUUGCAGGUGCAUGCCACCACGCCCGGCUAAUUUUUUGUAUUUUUAGUAGAGACAGGGUUUCACCGUUGUCUCAAUCUCCUGACCUCGUGAUCUGCCUGCCUCAGCCUCCCAAAGUGCUGUGAUUACAAGCGUGAGCCACCACGCCCCACCGCCACUGUACCUUUCCAUGUCCUCUUCAUCUCUGGCAUCGGGGACUCCCCUUUCUUGAUUUGAAGAAAUGGUUUUCAAUCUUGGCUUAUAUUUACAUUCAACUGGGGACAUUUUUUAAAAUCCCAAGACACAACCCAGACCAAUUACAUUCAAACCUCUGGCAUAAAAAGUGAGGUUUUAAAAAUAUAUUAUACAAAUAAUCGUACAAUAGGUACCUAGAUAUGUAAAAGCUCAUAAAGGUAUAACUUGAGUUAUCAAAAUAUCGUGAGCCCUGCUCUAGUACUGCUGCCUGUGUUAGGUGCUUCUGGACUCUGGUUCUAACAGUGGGAGGUUGUGUUUGUGAUCAUUUCUAGGCACAACUUUAAUCUGGAAAUAAAAUAGUCAUUUUGGCUUUCUCUUUCAGCCUCCUACGUGAGAGUUUCCCAAUUCUAAGAACAUUCUGAUGUUCUAUGCCACAUCUUGCAAUUGGGUAUGAACAAUUUUUCAAUAAUAGCAAAUAAAUGAGUCUUCUCAGUGUAUCUUCAUCUUGUCACCACUGCUGAAGAGCGUGAUUCUCCUCUAGCCUAGACAUGAGCUUCGACUGCUGUUCAGUUACUCCAGUAAACUCCAGGAUACUUAUUAAUGAUGGUAACAGCAGCCAACAAGUAUUAAGAACUUUUGCUAUUAAACUUCCCUGCUACCAUUGGGACCAAGAAUCUGGACAACAAAUUUUCUAUUUUUAUUUUUU
RNAcentral lists this long non-coding RNA (3420 nucleotides) under Pan troglodytes (chimpanzee). Its description in RNAcentral is "long non-coding RNA NONPTRT016567". Lineage: Eukaryota; Metazoa; Chordata; Mammalia; Primates; Hominidae. The record is from RNAcentral.